GGUGGUCCAAUGAAGAUCCAAUGGCCAGAAUAAAAUGAUACAGGUAUAAUACGAAUUCUAAGAUUUUUAGGACUACUUUUACUACCAGAAAAAGAUAAAAAAUUUACCUAUAAAUAGGUAGUCUGAAAAUAAGAGAAAAAAGAAGAGAAAAUUAAUAAAAAAAUAAAAAAAAUAAAAAAGUUUAGAGACUCAAGGGGAAGAAGAAGAGAAGCCAGUUCGCUCUAUGGAGUACGAAGGAAGAGGGGG
RNAcentral lists this long non-coding RNA (246 nucleotides) under Elaeis guineensis (African oil palm). Its description in RNAcentral is "long non-coding RNA (EGUI_LNC020206)". The record is from RNAcentral. Lineage: Eukaryota; Viridiplantae; Streptophyta; Magnoliopsida; Arecales; Arecaceae.